GGGGGUGUAGCUCAGCUGGGAGAGCACCUGCCUUGCACGCAGGGGGUCAUCGGUUCGAUCCCGUUCACCUCCACCA
Molecule: transfer RNA, 76 nt
Filed under: Geobacter sp.
Lineage: Bacteria; Pseudomonadati; Thermodesulfobacteriota; Desulfuromonadia; Geobacterales; Geobacteraceae
Also listed under: 20 other names
Description: tRNA-Ala
Rfam family: tRNA
About the family: Transfer RNA (tRNA) molecules are approximately 80 nucleotides in length. Their secondary structure includes four short double-helical elements and three loops (D, anti-codon, and T loops).
Source: RNAcentral